Long non-coding RNA from Anopheles coustani, 639 nucleotides. RefSeq lists it as uncharacterized. The record is from RefSeq and is a predicted model, not a curated record. Lineage: Eukaryota; Metazoa; Arthropoda; Insecta; Diptera; Culicidae. The transcript has 3 exons.
AGAAGAGAAAGUCAAAAAUGCUUGUAGGAACAUAUCUUUCAUGCGUUCCAAGCAGAACAAUCUCACUAAUAUACGUCUGCGACAGUCGUAAAAUCAGCUAAACAGUACUUCACGUGUGCGAAGAAGAUUGAUUCAGACCAAUCUUCAUUGAAGACCAGACUGUCGUUUCGAUUGCAGUCCAUUCGGUGCUGUAUCUUCGUGCAAAUAAAGCUAAUUUACCAUUGCUUACCACCGGCAAAGCUUCCCCCGGAACCCCGGGAACGAAUCUGACAGGGCAUGCGAUGGACAAGAAAUAAAAUAAAACCAAGUCAGCGUUAAUUUAAUCAGUGCCGAUGAGACAAUUUUCGCAUUGUUGCAAGACGCUGAUCAAAGCAGCAGCUGCACAGCAAUCAAUUUGAGCAAAGCAAAACUGGUCCGAGAAACAUGGUCCGAACGAGCGCAUUCCCGUGAAGCCACAGGGCGGAAGCGACGGACGUAGGGGCAAAUCAGAUCGAGCGAGAUAGCAUCGCGUCCCGCGGUUCGGAAAUGGCUGGUGGACACUCGGGACGGAACAUCUCGACGUUCAGCAGCGGAGAUUGAAUCAUAAACUCCCUGCGGGACUGGUUUGCCCUGUGAAUCCCAGACCGCACAUAAAUGACA